RNAcentral lists this ribosomal RNA (500 nucleotides) under uncultured Legionellales bacterium. Its description in RNAcentral is "bacterial SSU rRNA". It matches the Rfam family "Bacterial small subunit ribosomal RNA", at positions 974 to 1479 of the family's 1533-position model. Lineage: Bacteria; Pseudomonadati; Pseudomonadota; Gammaproteobacteria; Legionellales. The record is from RNAcentral.
CCUGGCCUUGACAUUGAUAGAAUCUGCUAGAGAUAGCGGAGUGCCCUUCGGGGAGCUUGAAAACAGGUGCUGCACGGCUGUCGUCAGCUCGUGUCGUGAGAUGUUGGGUUAAGUCCCGCAACGAGCGCAACCCUUGUCAUUAGUUGCCAUCAUUUGGUUGGGCACUCUAAUGAGACUGCCGGUGACAAACCGGAGGAAGGUGGGGAUGACGUCAAGUCCUCAUGGCCCUUAUGGGUAGGGCUUCACACGUCAUACAAUGGUCGGUACAGAGGGUUGCCAAGCCGCGAGGUGGAGCCAAUCCCAGAAAGCCGAUCGUAGUCCGGAUCGUAGUCUGCAACUCGAGUGCAUGAAGUUGGAAUCGCUAGUAAUCGUAGAUCAGCAUUGCUACGGUGAUACGUUCCCGGGUCUUGUACUCACCGCCCGUCACACCAUGGGAGUUGAUUUCACCCGAAGCGGGGAUGCUAAAGUAGCUACCUUUCACGGUGGAAUCAGCGACUGGG